AGUAUCAGAUGAUGAAACCUCGAAACAAUCUUAGGACACCUUCUGACACAGUGUUUCAUCACUGUGAGUGAGAAGUACCUUCUUUUCUGAUGAUACA
Molecule: small nucleolar RNA, 97 nt
Filed under: Zea mays
Lineage: Eukaryota; Viridiplantae; Streptophyta; Magnoliopsida; Poales; Poaceae
Description: Small nucleolar RNA snoR31/Z110/Z27
Rfam family: Small nucleolar RNA snoR31/Z110/Z27
About the family: This family contains several related snoRNAs including R31, Z27 and Z110. Family members belong to the C/D class of snoRNAs which contain the C (UGAUGA) and D (CUGA) box motifs.
Source: Rfam by way of RNAcentral